This 546-nucleotide ribosomal RNA is filed under the name uncultured Chloroflexota bacterium. Its description in RNAcentral is "bacterial SSU rRNA". It matches the Rfam family "Bacterial small subunit ribosomal RNA", at positions 36 to 573 of the family's 1533-position model. Lineage: Bacteria; Bacillati; Chloroflexota. The record is from RNAcentral.
CUGGCGGCGUGCCUACACAUGCAAGUCGUAACGGACUUGUCGGACAAAGCAGAGAAUAGCUUGCUAGGACCUGCUGCGAUCGACGGUUAGUGGCGAACGGGUGAGUAACACGUGGGUGACCUGCCCCGAAGAGGGGGAUAACUACUGGAAACGGUGGCUAAUACCCCGUAUGCUCAAUCAUUCGGUUGGUUGAGUAAAGCUCCGGCGCUUCGGGAGGGGCCCGCGGCCUAUCAGGUAGUUGGUAGGGUAAUGGCCUACCAAGCCGAUGACGGGUAGCUGGUCUGAGAGGACGAUCAGCCACACUGGCACUGAGAUACGGGCCAGACUCCUACGGGAGGCAGCAGUGAGGGAUAUUGGACAAUCGGCGCAAGCCGGAUCCAGCGACGCCGCGUGGACGAUGAAGGCCCUCGGGUUGUAAAGUCCUUUUCUGAGGGAAGAGGAAGGACGGUACCUCAGGAAUAAGCGUCGGCUAACUACGUGCCANCANCCGCGGUAAAACGUANGACGCGAGCGUUAUCCGGAUUUACUGGGCGUAAAGCGCGCGCA